GAGCGCAUGAAACAAAACAGAAGCCUUCGGGUGGAAGAUUUGUGGAUUGAGCGGCGGACGGGUGAGUAACACGUGGGCAACCUACCUAUAAGACUGGGAUAACUCGUGGAAACAGGAGCUAAUACCGGAUGUAUCGUUUGAACGCAUGUUCAAACAAAUAAAGGCGGCUUUACGGCUGUCACUUAUAGAUGGGCCCGCGGCGCAUUAGCUAGUUGGUGGGGUAAUGGCUCACCAAGGCGACGAUGCGUAGCCGACCUGAGAGGGUGAUCGGCCACACUGGGACUGAGACACGGCCCAGACUCCUACGGGAGGCAGCAGUAGGGAAUCUUCCGCAAUGGACGAAAGUCUGACGGAGCAACGCCGCGUGAACGAUGAAGGUUUUCGGAUCGUAAAGUUCUGUUGUUAGGGAAGAACACGUACCGUUCAAAUAGGGCGGUACCUUGACGGUACCUAACGAGAAAGCCCCGGCUAACUACGUGCCAGCAGCCGCGGUAAUACGUAGGGGGCAAGCGUUGUCCGGAAUUAUUGGGCGUAAAGCGCGCGCAGGCGGUCUUUUAAGUCUGAUGUGAAAUCUUGCGGCUCAACCGCAAGCGGUCAUUG
Molecule: ribosomal RNA, 600 nt
Filed under: uncultured bacterium
Lineage: Bacteria
Description: bacterial SSU rRNA
Rfam family: Bacterial small subunit ribosomal RNA
Source: RNAcentral